GGAUGCAGCAGUGGGGAAUUUUGGACAAUGGGCGAAAGCCUGAUCCAGCAAUGCCGCGUGUGUGAAGAAGGCCUUCGGGUUGUAAAGCACUUUUGUCCGGAAAGAAAUCCUUGGCUCUAAUACAGUCGGGGGAUGACGGUACCGGAAGAAUAAGCACCGGCUAACUACGUGCCAGCAGCCGCGGUAAUACGUAGGGUGCGAGCGUUAAUCGGAAUUACUGGGCGUAAAGCGUGCGCAGGCGGUUUGCUAAGACCGAUGUGAAAUCCCCGGGCUCAACCUGGGAACUGCAUUGGUGACUGGCAGGCUAGAGUAUGGCAGAGGGGGGUAGAAUUCCACGUGUAGCAGUGAAAUGCGUAGAGAUGUGGAGGAAUACCGAUGGCGAAGGCAGCCCCCUGGGCCAAUACUGACGCUCAUGCACGAAAGCGUGGGGAGCAAACAGGAUUAGAUACCCUGGUAGUCCACGCCCUAAACGAUGUCAACUAGUUGUUGGGGAUUCAUUUCCUUAGUAACGUAGCUAACGCGUGAAGUUGACCGCCUGGGGAGUACGGUCGCAAGAUUAAAACUCAAAGGAAUUGACGGGGACCCGCACAAGCGGUGGAUGAUGUGGAUUAAUUCGAUGCAACGCGAAAAACCUUACCUACCCUUGACAUGGUCGGAAUCCCGCUGAGAGGUGGGAGUGCUCGAAAGAGAACCGGCGCACAGGUGCUGCAUGGCUGUCGUCAGCUCGUGUCGUGAGAUGUUGGGUUAAGUCCCGCAACGAGCGCAACCCUUGUCCUUAGUUGCUACGCAAGAGCACUCUAAGGAGACUGCCGGUGACAAACCGGAGGAAGGUGGGGAUGACGUCAAGUCCUCAUGGCCCUUAUGGGUAGGGCUUCACACGUCAUACAAUGGUCGGAACAGAGGGUUGCCAACCCGCGAGGGGGAGCUAAUCCCAGAAAACCGAUCGUAGUCCGGAUUGCACUCUGCAACUCGAGUGCAUGAAGCUGGAAUCGCUAGUAAUCGCGGAUCUGCAUGCCGCGGUGAAUUUUUACCGGGCCUUGUACACACCGC
RNAcentral lists this ribosomal RNA (1050 nucleotides) under uncultured Burkholderia sp. Its description in RNAcentral is "bacterial SSU rRNA". It matches the Rfam family "Bacterial small subunit ribosomal RNA", at positions 344 to 1393 of the family's 1533-position model. Lineage: Bacteria; Pseudomonadati; Pseudomonadota; Betaproteobacteria; Burkholderiales; Burkholderiaceae. The record is from RNAcentral.